AUGCUCGCUUGGGCAGCACUUAUACUAAAAUUGGAAUGGUGCAGAGAAAUUAUGGCCCCCGCACAAGGGUGAUACAUGAACUCAGGUAACGUUCUAUACUUUU
Camelus dromedarius (Arabian camel) is the source of this 103-nucleotide small nuclear RNA. The record is from Ensembl. NCBI's taxonomy places the organism in Eukaryota, Metazoa, Chordata, Mammalia, Artiodactyla, Camelidae.